Molecule: ribosomal RNA, 499 nt
Filed under: uncultured bacterium
Lineage: Bacteria
Description: partial 16S ribosomal RNA
Rfam family: Bacterial small subunit ribosomal RNA
Source: RNAcentral
ACUCAAAUGAAUUGACGGGGGCCCGCACAAGCGGUGGAGCAUGUGGUUUAAUUCGAUGCAACGCGAAGAACCUUACCUACCCUUGACAUCCAACGAAGACUGCAGAGAUGUGGUUGUGCCGAAAGGAACGUUGAGACAGGUGCUGCAUGGCUGUCGUCAGCUCGUGUUGUGAGAUGUUGGGUUAAGUCCCGUAACGAGCGCAACCCUUAUCUUUAGUUGCCAACACGUAAUGGUGGGGACUCUAAAGAGACUGCCGGUGAUGAACCGGAGGAAGGCGGGGACGACGUCAAGUCAUCAUGGCCUUUAUGGGUAGGGCUACACACGUGCUACAAUGGACAGUACAGAGGGCGGCCAACCCGCGAGGGGGAGCUAAUCCCAGAAAGCUGUUCGUAGUCCGGAUCGGAGUCUGCAACUCGACUCCGUGAAGUCGGAAUCGCUAGUAAUCGCGAAUCAGAAUGUCGCGGUGAAUACGUUCCCGGGCCUUGUACACACCGCCCGU